This 199-nucleotide ribosomal RNA is filed under the name uncultured bacterium. RNAcentral's name for it is "partial 16S ribosomal RNA". It matches the Rfam family "Bacterial small subunit ribosomal RNA", at positions 334 to 525 of the family's 1533-position model. The record is from RNAcentral.
UACUCCUACGGGAGGCAGCAGUGGGGAAUUUUGGACAAUGGGGGCAACCCUGAUCCAGCAACGCCGCGUGAAUGAAGAAGGCCUUAGGGUUGUAAAGUACUUUCAGCGGGGAGGAAGGUGUUGUGGUUAAUAACCACAGCAAUUGACGUUACCCGCAGAAGAAGCACCGGCUAACUCCGUGCCAGCAGCCGCGGUAAUA